AUGGGUCGUGCAAACGCAGGCAGCCUCGCCGAAGCGUGCUUGCCGGAGCAUCAAUCGACGGACUCAUACCAGCGCCUUGCUCGGGAUUACCCAAACGAGGGGGAAAUUCUGGACGAGCGUAGCGCGGUAAUCGUCGACAUCGACGACGCCGAGGCUAGAGCAGCUCGACUGCUGACGAGGGGGAGGGGCUGGAAAGAGGGAGCUCGCGCCCGCACGCUUUCUGCCCUUUCUUCGAGCGGCGGACGGAUGGCGAUCAUACCGUACGGGCCGUCGGGAAGGAUCUGGUGCCACCAGCGGUGA
RNAcentral lists this ribosomal RNA (300 nucleotides) under Triticum aestivum (bread wheat). RNAcentral describes it as "partial small subunit ribosomal RNA". The record is from RNAcentral. Lineage: Eukaryota; Viridiplantae; Streptophyta; Magnoliopsida; Poales; Poaceae.